UGGGGAAUUUUGGACAAUGGGCGAAAGCCUGAUCCAGCAAUGCCGCGUGUGUGAAGAAGGCCUUCGGGUUGUAAAGCACUUUUGUCCGGAAAGAAAUCCUUGGCUCUAAUACAGUCGGGGGAUGACGGUACCGGAAGAAUAAGCACCGGCUAACUACGUGCCAGCAGCCGCGGUAAUACGUAGGGUGCAAGCGUUAAUCGGAAUUACUGGGCGUAAAGCGUGCGCAGGCGGUUUGCUAAGACCGAUGUGAAAUCCCCGGGCUCAACCUGGGAACUGCAUUGGUGACUGGCAGGCUAGAGUAUGGCAGAGGGGGGUUAGAAUUCCACGUGUAGCAGUGAAAUGCGUAGAGAUGUGGAGGAAUACCGAUGGCGAAGGCAGCCCCCUGGGCCAAUACUGACGCUCAUGCACGAAAGCGUGGGGAGCAAACAGGAUUAGAUACCCCUGGUAGUCCACGCCCUAAACGAUGUCAACUAGUUGUUGGGGAUUCAUUUCCUUAGUAACGUACUAACGCGUGAAGUUGACCGCCUGGGGGAGUACGGUCGCAAGAUUAAAACUCAAAUGAAUUGAUGGGGUCAUAGCUGUUU
This 584-nucleotide ribosomal RNA is filed under the name uncultured bacterium. Its description in RNAcentral is "partial 16S ribosomal RNA". It matches the Rfam family "Bacterial small subunit ribosomal RNA", at positions 355 to 935 of the family's 1533-position model. The record is from RNAcentral.